AUUGAACGCUGGCGGCAUGCCUUACACAUGCAAGUCGAACGGUAACAGGUCUUCGGAUGCUGACGAGUGGCGAACGGGUGAGUAAUACAUCGGAACGUGCCCGAUCGUGGGGGAUAACGAAGCGAAAGCUUUGCUAAUACCGCAUAAGAUCUACGGAUGAAAGCAGGGGACCGCAAGGCCUUGCGCGAACGGAGCGGCCGAUGGCAGAUUAGGUAGUUGGUGGGAUAAAAGCUUACCAAGCCGACGACCUGUAGCUGGUCUGAGAGGACGACCAGCCACACUGGGACUGAGACACGGCCCAGACUCCUACGGGAGGCAGCAGUGGGGAAUUUUGGACAAUGGGCGAAAGCCUGAUCCAGCCAUGCCGCGUGCAGGAUGAAGGCCUUCGGGUUGUAAACUGCUUUUGUACGGAACGAAAAGACUCUGGUUAAUACCUGGGGUCCAUGACGGUACCGUAAGAAUAAGCACCGGCUAACUACGUG
Molecule: ribosomal RNA, 482 nt
Filed under: uncultured bacterium
Lineage: Bacteria
Description: partial 16S ribosomal RNA
Rfam family: Bacterial small subunit ribosomal RNA
Source: RNAcentral